Molecule: ribosomal RNA, 495 nt
Filed under: uncultured bacterium
Lineage: Bacteria
Description: partial 16S ribosomal RNA
Rfam family: Bacterial small subunit ribosomal RNA
Source: RNAcentral
GAUGAACGCUGGCGGCGUGCCUAAUACAUGCAAGUCGAGCGAACAGAUGAGGAGCUUGCUCCUCUGACGUUAGCGGCGGACGGGUGAGUAACACGUGGAUAACCUACCUAUAAGACUGGGAUAACUUCGGGAAACCGGAGCUAAUACCGGAUAAUAUAUUGAACCGCAUGGUUCAAUAGUGAAAGACGGUUUUGCUGUCACUUAUAGAUGGAUCCGCGCCGCAUUAGCUAGUUGGUAAGGUAACGGCUUACCAAGGCGACGAUGCGUAGCCGACCUGAGAGGGUGGUCGGCCACACGGGGGCUGACACCCGGCCAGGACCCUUAGGGGGGGCGGAAGUAGGAAUUCUUCCGAAGGGGGCAAACCCUUAACGGGGCACCGCGGGGGGGGUGAGGAGGUUUUUGGAAUCGUAAACUUCUUUAUUAGGGGAAAAAAAAUUGUGAAAGAAACUAUGCACGUUUGGCGGUUCCCAAACAAAAAACCCCCGGCAACCUACG